Molecule: ribosomal RNA, 638 nt
Filed under: uncultured bacterium
Lineage: Bacteria
Description: bacterial SSU rRNA
Rfam family: Bacterial small subunit ribosomal RNA
Source: RNAcentral
GCUCAACCGGGGAGGGUCAUUGGAAACUGGGGAACUUGAGUGCAGAAGAGGAGAGUGGAAUUCCACGUGUAGCGGUGAAAUGCGUAGAGAUGUGGAGGAACACCAGUGGCGAAGGCGACUCUCUGGUCUGUAACUGACGCUGAGGCGCGAAAGCGUGGGGAGCGAACAGGAUUAGAUACCCUGGUAGUCCACGCCGUAAACGAUGAGUGCUAAGUGUUAGAGGGUUUCCGCCCUUUAGUGCUGCAGCAAACGCAUUAAGCACUCCGCCUGGGGAGUACGGUCGCAAGACUGAAACUCAAAGGAAUUGGCGGGGGCCCGCACAAGCGGUGGAGCAUGUGGUUUAAUUCGAAGCAACGCGAAGAACCUUACCAGGUCUUGACAUCCUCUGACAACCCUAGAGAUAGGGCUUCCCCUUCGGGGGGCAGAGUGACAGGUGGUGCAUGGUUGUCGUCAGCUCGUGUCGUGAGAUGUUGGGUUAAGUCCCGCAACGAGCGCAACCCUUGAUCUUAGUUGCCAGCAUUCAGUUGGGCACUCUAAGGUGACUGCCGGUGACAAACCGGAGGAAGGUGGGGAUGACGUCAAAUCAUCAUGCCCCUUAUGACCUGGGCUACACACGUGCUACAAUGGGCAGAACAAAG